This 9919-nucleotide long non-coding RNA is filed under the name Malus domestica (apple). RNAcentral's name for it is "long non-coding RNA (MDOM_LNC011626)". The record is from RNAcentral. Lineage: Eukaryota; Viridiplantae; Streptophyta; Magnoliopsida; Rosales; Rosaceae.
UUUUUUUUUUUUUUUUUAUCAUUGAGGCAUAUGAUUUCUGGGUUUGGUUUAAUUCGAUGAAAAAUUAAACAGCGUUUCAAUUUUGUUUUCAUUUGUGUUUUCUGAUUAUAUACUUUUAUGGGUUUUAAUUUUGGAUUUAUGCCCUGAAGUUUAUAUGUUAUUUUGUGUAAUUGGAAGUAUAAAUUUGAAUACUUGGAGCUAACGGACGGAAAAUCAAGCGCAGUGGCGUUCUAGGAUUCAUACAGCCGACUCAUAAGGCGUUGUUGUUGUUGUGGAAGUAUAAAUUGGAAUUGUGCCAUUGCUUCUCUGUGGUUUAAGCAACCGUUCUAAAGCUUGAUCCUUCUCAGCAAAGUUGGUUUUGUGCUGUAUGUGGGAUGUUUUGAUGUUAAAAUGAAGCUUGAAAGGUCACUUCUUUUUGGUUUUUAUGGAAGAUGAGGUUAAUUAUUUGGGGAGGAUGGUUAGGGUUCUCAAAUAUUUGUUUUUGUGUGGGAGCGGUUUGGAGUAGCAAAUUUUUGUUUUGUGUUGCAAUAGAUGCGUAAGGGGAAUAUUUCGUAAUAUGAUUGCAUAAUACGUGUGUAAUGUUGUAGGUUUUCUACUGAAGAGGUGUCUGCACAAAAUCAAGUUAAGGCAUCUGUCCAGCGCAAAAUUCGGCAGAGUAUUGCAGAUGAGGUAAGAUGAUUAGGUUCAUAGGAAUUUCACGGAUGCUUUAAGAUACGCUUUACAUAUGUCUGUAACACAAAGUUAACUUCAACUGCAGUACCCGGGACUCGAACAGGUGUUGGAAGAUUUGAUCCCAAAGAAAUCUCCUCUUAUUGUGGCUAAAUGGUUUGUCGCUCUGUUGGUCCUGCUUCUGUGUUUUACUUAUUGACUCAGCUAUUUGUUUCAUGCUGCCUUAUCUCCAUGUAUCUAACAUUGUCUUCCACAUGCUCGACUUUUGCAGUCAGAACCAUCUAAAUCUGGUGGUGGUAAACAACGUGCCACUAUUUUUCAACAUUCGUGAUGGACCGUAUAUGCCUACCCUAAGACUUCUUCAUCAAUGUAAAAGUUUCUUUACCGCCAAAAUGCCUUAUCUCAAUAAGUCUGGUCUAUGAACCAGUUAUGCAAUCCUUGAUUUGCUUCUUCUUUUGAGUGGAUUAUUUUAUUUUUCUCAAAUAAAAAGCUACAUAGUUGGUGAAUUUUCCUUCCAAAUAGUUGUAACUGAGAAAGCUCGGGGUUUCUUACGGGUUUUACAGAUCCAGACAUAAUGAAAAAGUUGCAAGUAGAUAGGGGCGCCAUAAGGUUUGUUCUCUCUGGUGCAAACAUAAUGUGUCCAGGUCUAACUUCUCCCGGUGGUUCUUUGGAUGAUGAAGUGGGUGCAGAAACUCCCGUGGUAGGAGUUUUAUGUCUCUUUUUUUCUUUGUAUUAAUGUAAUGUCAUACUCAUGUUAGAACCUUUUUUUUUUGUUCAAAUGUUAGGUUGAGUUGAUUUAAAUAAUUGUCUUGUCACGAGACGGAAAUGUUGAAGUUCAGUUUGUUUUGUAUGUCUCUGAUUUGUAAAACUGAUUACGCUCAGGCAAUAAUGGCAGAAGGAAAACAACAUGCUCUUGCUAUUGGCUUCACAAAAAUGUCAGCAAAAGAAAUGUAAGUUAUUUUCUUAUUCGAAGGACAUUAUCGUUGCUUCUCCUAGAGUAAUGCCUUGGGUACCCUUAGAAUAUUGAGGACAAGAUAUAUAAUACGAGAGCCUAACUUGCAUUACCGACCUCAAAUCUAGCUUAGUUAUCUGUUGCUGAUUGUCGUAUUUACAAAGUUGAGUCUUCCCCUUGGUUUGCAGAAGAGAUAUCAACAAGGGAAUCGGAGUUGACAACAUGCAUUAUCUUAACGAUGGUCUUUGGAAGGUACGUCAGUGUCUACUUUGUAUUUAUGGCCAUUGCCAGUGUUUUAACUAGUGUUUCGUUGUUAAAUCUUUCGCCUUGCUAUGCAGAUGGAACAUCUAGAUUGAAGAUACUCAAGACUAUCCGUGGUAUCAUCAACAAGAAAUGAAGAACACAUGUUAGUUUCAUCGAUGUGGUCUUGACUUUACUGUUUUUCGGAGUGUUAGGUCCGAGCUUUACAAGUCACGAGUAUACCCUAACCGUAUUUACAUGUUUUGUAUUUGUACGUGGAGUGAUCAUCUUUAUCAAAUUCAUCGUAAGAUGGUCAUAUCCAUUUUGUGAUACAAUUUAGAGGUAUUUUUCUUAUAUGAUGUAAGAGGUGAAUUCCCAACUCCCAAGCAUAUGUUUUGACAUCUUUUCCAGUGAACUAUAUGUCUUUGCGAAGAUAAAUGAACGAAAUUAUGAUUUCCUCUUAGACAGCUGCGUAAUCUUUGAAAUUUCAUCGUGAUGUUGGUCUUCAACGAGGAAUUCCUAGUAAGCGCGAGUCAUCAGCUCGUGUUGACUACGUUCCUGCCCUUUGUACACACCACCCCUCGUACCGAUUGAAUGGUCCGGAAAAGUGUUCGGAUCGCGGCGACGAUCGAUUGCUUGAGAAGAAUGCAAGUGAGGAAAUGCUAAAACUAGCACAUUUCGGUGCUCGCAGAAUAGCAAAGGGGCAACAAACUUUUUAAAACUAAACGUUUUCCGUACUAGAAAUACAUCUUUUACUUGUUUUUCCUACUUCUCGAACUAUCAGGAGAUUUCUGGCUGAUCUUGGCUUCAAAUUUCCUGAUUCGUAGAGCGGCUACAUUGUGGCUCUGGCUACGUCUUUAUCGUUUGCUGCAUAUUGACAUGAACAAAGAAAAGAUCAACAGCGAAGCGAAAAACGAUCCAAGUUAGCAACACUGCAAAAUCUCAUUAUGGCAAUCGAAAUGUGGCGGCAGAAGAAGGGCAUACCUUACAGACAAUAGGCCGGCUGUAAGAACCAAUCCUCCGACGGCCCAAGAAACUCGUUCACUAAAUGGCAUGUCCCUCCACCUCUGCUGGAAUUCAGCCUCAAGCUCUCAGCUUUCUGGAGCACCUCAGAAGGUGAAGCCUUCCAUGAAUCAGCAAUCAAGUCAAGACUGGCUUUACCAACAACAACAACAACAACAAAGCCUUUUCCCACUAAGUGGGGUCGGCUCAAGACUGGCUUUACCGCAGUAGCAAAAUGCUUCUUCGUUGCUCACGGAUGCAUCAUCUUUAACAGCAAAUCCUGCCGCAUGGCAGAACUCUGUGCCAUUAAGAAUCCAUUCCGAGGCCCUGCCGCAAACAUAAUCACUUACUCCACAUGGUGCUAGAACCUGGAAGAAGGUAAUUAAUCAGAAAAUGCAAUUCCCUAAUGCACCCAAAAGAGAUCAGUUUAAUCACCUAUUUAUUUGGUUAUGUCAAAUUAUAAGUCGGUAAAAAAAAUUCCUCGACUGGAAGUUAAAGGUCUCCCACAUACCUGUGUUAUUGCAUCUGUCGAGUAGUAAGCCUCAGCACAAGCCUCAAAAACCCUGUCACAGAAAGAGGCACAUAUAGCUGGAGGUCCUGACUGCACGCCAAUGCAGGGAUCACAGAUGGAACAUUCCAGUAAUUCCCACAAAUGCAAGCACUCUGGGCCAGCUUCCCCUGAUGAAGCCAACUUCCUAACGGAUACCAGUGCAGGCUGUGUCUGGGCUACAUCACAGCAAGUUUUUUGCGGAACACUCUGCAAAGGGUCAGAUCUUUGGGUCCCUUACUCAGAUGUUUUGGAGGUUUUCCCUCGGAAGACAAUGGUGGGAAACGACCGCCUUGAGAAAUGCAUACACUGUCAGGUUUACCUACAACUAAAACAGAUGUAGAUAACGUUUAAUGACCAACUAGCGUACAUGCAAAAAUCAUUUGAAAACCAUGUAAAAACUUCUUUACAUAGGAAUUGAAUUUCUCCAAAAUAAUUUGUUAACUUAAGACUCUUGAAGAUGAUUGCCACUGCGAAACGGAAAAGCCUAAAGUAUUGCCCCACAAGAAAUGCAAUUACGUUCUUGCUUGGGAUUCUUGGGAAGAACCAGAAUUUCUUCUGGUUGCCUUUAAGUUAAAGAGAUAAACCAUGCUUACAUGCAUAAAUCAGAUUACAAGAGCAACACCGAUACGAGGCCAAAUCCAGAAAGCAGAUGCCAUUCUGCUGAUUUAAGGAAACAACAAGCAGAUUGCGUCCAAUUUCCACACCGCUAUGAAAAAUGAACAAUGACCAUGCACUCGUAAGAUGUGAUAAGGCAGUCGGGGCACGCCAAAGACACCUUAUGUCAGCUUCAAAAAAAGAGCAAGCCCCUUCAUGGCUUGUCAACCAGAGACAUAAUUAACAUAGACCUCCACACAAGAUUCUAAAAGACGCUAGCUGUUAGUUGAACGGCAAGCUGGGGCCUAGCACCUAGGUGGCUAGGCGGGCCUAGACGGGCGCCUAGAUGAACAAGACGGAUUUAAGUAAAUCUAUUAUAUUUCGUGUAAAUAAGCGUCUGUUUAUACUUAAAAAAUAUAUAAUUUCAUUAUAAACUACAAAAUAGAAUGACAUAUAUAUUAGGAAGUAUUGGAACAUAAUGAAAACAUGGGGAACAAGCAUAUAAUGGGUAUUCGUUUAAGUAUUCAACAAGUAUCUUACAAUUUAUUAAAAAAAUAAAAUACAAAAUGAAAGUUAUCUAUUUUUUAACCAAAUAAGUCACAACUUAGACAGGUGCCUAGGUGGUCUAGGUGGUCUAGGCGGACGCCUCAACAGGUCUAGACGCUCUUUCUUAAUUUUCAAAGGCUUAAACAUUAAUCAAGGUAGUGACCAACCGCCUAGCACCUAGGUGGGGAUUUUUGGAACAGUGCCUCCACGUCAAACUGAUUCUAGCCUACCUCAACUUCCCUCAACCGAAUAUGUUACAUCCGCAAUGCGGAACUAUAGCUCAUACAAACCUUAUGUUUUGGCACACUGGAGACAGAAGUCUAACCUAGUGUGAGAAAAUGGAAAUCUCACUGUUGCAAUUCUCAUGUCAGAGCAGAUAUCCAGUGAUGUCUGCAUACAGUAGACUGAAACUGUACCGAUCAAGUGCAAAAAGAUGGGACUUUCUGAAUCCUAUCUGGAUUUUUUUUUUUUUUUUUUGAACAUCUAUCUGGAUUUUGACUAAUUCUACAAUCCAAAAAAUAAAAUAAAAAUACAAAUCCAUGAUGUCAUUGUUCUCCUAAAAAACUGAUCGUUUUCGAUGGCUGCAAAGUUGGGACACUACGAAAUCGACUCCAAAACUGUUCGCUGAUUAAUUUCAACACAAAGGUCCCGAAAAUCAAACAAUUAGGAUCUGAAAACAAACAAGAAAAAUGAUAUUAUAUAUAUAUAUAUAUAUAUAUAUAUAUAUAUAUAUAUCUGUGUGUGUGUAUUUAUGUACGUAUUUACCAGUUAAAGAGGGGACGAGUGUAUUGAGAAGGAGCAGCAGGAUCAGAGACGCGCAACCCAUUUUUCAUCACUCGGUGGUUUCUUAGUUCUCAAAAAUUUUAAUUUUAAUUGAAAAAUGACAAAUAAAGUUGUAAGUGAAUAGUACAAAAAAAGAUAAAAAUAUGGUUUUUCAUAAAAAAAAAAUAAAUGGUACCAAAAGUGUUUCGUUAAAACUCACAAACAAAAUCCGAUCCGGUGAGAACGGUGGCUGUGGUGGGUACCCGGUGACCCAAUGUACCACAGGUCUCAGGUCUGCGGUGAUGGACCCAAACUUCUAACUGGGUCGGAAGGGAAACAUGGACUCAGGUUGGAGGCCCAUAUAUGUUGCCCUUUCGUUUCUAUACUUAUUUUUACAUAUUUCUAUAAACAUCCACAUAAAUUUCUAAUAUUUCUAAUUUAUUCCUGCUUAAAAUAGAGAAAUAAAAAUUGGCACCAUUCCAAACCCUUUCUGUUUUUUGGUCAAGGAGGAAUUUUAUAACAAAGUCCAAACGGACGCAGUAGAAAGAUAACAGCUUCAUAAUUGAGGUAGGUACAAAUGAGACGUCACUUGUACAUUCAUCGCAUGAGUAAAGGUUCUCAAUUAUACCUAAAGCAUACAAAAAAAUUACAAGAGAUAUGGCUCGGCCCAAAAGCCGAAGUCCACCCGAAGAGGCCCAAAAGUGACCCCUCCGAAAAAAUCUAAUAACCCUAAAACGAGAAUCACCCACCGCCUCAACCGCCUCACCAUUCCAAACCCUUCUUGAUUCUUAUUCUCCUUCUUUCGCCUUCUCUUAAUUCUUCUCCAAACACAGAUUUGCCAUUGGGCUCCACUGCAUCUGGAAUUGACAGUGCACUGUGCACUGCAACAGUGGCUCAGAAAAGGACGACGCCGUUUCCCAAAUUCUCAGUCAAGCACCGCCUGAAAUCCUUAUGGCCCUAGAGCACCAAGAGGAGGUGGCGGACCCACAUACCAUGGGAUGGCUCUCGUAUGAGGGGUAUACUUAGGGAAUAAAUUUAAUUUAAAUAAUUGAAUAUGCAACGGAAAAAUAAUAAAUAACAUACAAUAUGUUAUUCCAAUAUGCUAAAAAUGUCUCUAUAAUCUUAUCAAAUAGUGCUAAUAGCAUUUUAACAACUACACAACACCAAAGUGCGUCGAAGUGAGGCACCUGAUGAGCCUAAAAACAGAGGUGGAUGGUUUAAGGGUUGCGAUGGAAAGCAAUAUUGGAGCAAAAAAGGGGCAUAAAAACCCAAAUUUUGAGACGAAAGGUCAAGAAAACCAAAAUACAAGGGGUCUAAGUAAAAUACAGAGAAGCUAAGGAGACAAAGGAGAAGGAAAAGUAGUUGGAAUUGGCCAGAGAAGGGGGUUGCCAUCGACCCCCACCCAAAGUAGGUGUUGGUGGCAUUGUCUUCAUGAUUCAGCGUGUCCGUGUUUGUCUUAUCCAUUUUGCUUUAAUGUCUUUGUGUUUUUUAAAACUUCCAUGUUAUGUAUCAUUGAGGGCUUCAAAAAGAAAAAUAAAGAACGGUUAGAUCUUUCAUGUUGCGUUCUAAUUAUCUUUGCAAUGAUUAAAUUUUUUAUAAAACUCCUACUUGAAUGGUAUGUACUAUUGCAGUCGAACUUUUAUUAGUAUUUAAUAUAACAGGAUAGUGUUAUUUACACAUCUGUUUUACCCACACGCAUUUGUUAAUUUUGAACCAUCAAAUUUCUUCAAUUCAUUCGAUUAGACGGUUGGAUAUUGACCUCUCGUUGAUUUCUGUUCUUUGAUAUUUUUCAAUUCAUCUUAUCAGACAUCCGAAAAUUAAAAAAAUGUGUGAAUAUCACACCCCUAAUAAAAAAUGGUGGAUAGCACUACCCUAAUAAGGUUAGUGGAGUGUCAACUUCAUCUCUCGUAUUUUUCCACUCUUCAAAGUGAAGAUAUAUGAAUCUCAUCAUAUAGAUAAGAUUCUGUUAUAAGCUUAUCGUCAUAUCAAUGCUAGGUUAGGUUAGCGGCAGCGGCAUGGUCCCUUUUGGCCCAUACGUCCGUACACAGCUCCGUUAACUUAUCACGGAUGGGCAUUAGGAUAAGUUCUACUAGAUACCAGAAUCCCAGAUGGAAAAUUUAUCUCGUGUUCUCUGUACAAGUUAUACUAACGAGAGCAUCUUUCAACAAUCCAGAUGGAUAAGCAAUAACGGAGUUGUACCAACGGAAAUUUCAAUCGACGUUAGAUUCAUAUCCAUGUUUCUGGCAUCAAGUUAGGGUCUCGGAAAAUAGGGUCCCCUCUGGCAAUGGCCGGAUCGACAUAGAGAUUCGGAUGAUACCAAUAACCUCCGACAGUCCGACUGCCCGAAAAAUACAUGCGAAGGUCUUUCGAGGACUAUCCAAAUGUAUGACACAGACUCAUUAAUAGUAUGAUGAAAUGCCUUCCAAAAAUAUCUUGACAACAUUUGGCUAGACAUGUCAACCAUGCCUAGCCUGAGAUCUCAACAGCACUCGACAAGUUUUUUUGGCUUUGUUAAUACAACGCAAUAACGAUCGGUCCACUAAAUGCUCGACAAAUUUUUACGUGUUACGCGCACAUUAGUUUCUUUUUGUGUGCAUAUUUUUUAAAAUUUUAUUUGUGUUUGUACCCAUGUGUAUGUCAUCAUGUAACAUUGUAUAUUUAAUCAAUGAUAGAAAAAUUACAUAUGGUAUAUUUAUGUUUUAUGCCUAACUUUUGUAUCAUAUAUUUAUAUUUUUAGUUUGUACCCACUUUUAAUUUGCAACAUUUUUUAAAAAAAUUUGUAGUAUUUUCUUUUUAAUUUUAUUUUGUACCCAUGUAUUAAUUUCUUUUAGUGCCUAUAUUUUUUAAGUACCAAUUUUUUUAACACUAUGAAUACAUUCUUUUGUCAUUUAUUAUUUCUUAUUUUUACAUAGUUUUUAUCCAUUUAUUCAAUUAAAAUGUUUGAAUUUUUUUAUUGUAACCGUUUCUAAUAGUAUUAUAACGAAGAAUUUAAAAUUUAUAGGAUAAUAAAUUUCAUAAAAUAUCAAACAAUUAAUAUCAAAACUAUAAAAAAUAUAAAUAUUAAUUGUAAUAUAAUGAGGUGUACAAAGUCAAUAAACUUUAAUUAAACUUUGAAUACCAUUAAAAUUUUAGUCAAAGAAUGUUAAGGAUUAAAAACCGCAUCCAAAAUAUCCCUUAAUUGUAUGACGAAAUGCCUUCCAAAAAUAUCUUGACAACAUAUCUUGACAACAUUUGGCUAGACGUAUCAACCAUGCCCACCCUGAGAUCUCUCGACAGCACUCUGACAAGUUUCUUUGGCUUUGUUAAUAUAAUUCAAUAACGAUCGGUCCACCAAAUGCUCGACAAAUUUUUGCGUAGCCGCGCACAUUAUUCAUCUAAAUAGAACCUGAAUGUUUUAGGCUGAAAUUCUUAAUCCUGAAUCCGCCAGCCAUACGUCCACACUUACAACUACGACGAAUAGCGCCCAUGGAUAAGAUAUCUUUCUACAAACGAGAAGUAUUGACACAAGCACCAGAUUAUAUAGAUCCAGUACCACAUCAUAAUACAUUACACAUGCACGAACUAAUAUGCAGUUUUAUUAUUCAAAAUACAACAGCAGGAACUUGUAAGGGAAAAUUAAACACUCUCUUUACAAAUAACAGCAGAGAUUAUGCAGAUUUAGCAACAUGGAAACCCUAGCAACUCGGAACGAACACACCCAAACCCUAGCAACAGCGGAGAUUCAACCACUAUACUUAUAUAGUCGCACAUGCACUAGAUUGAAACUCAGAACAAACAACACCCAAAACCCUACGUGGAAACCCUAGACAGUUUCUUUUUUCCUUCCAGCCAUGGCUAAACCGUCCACAGAAAACAUGUACAUCUCAUCGCAUGCCGUGAGGAGGGCUCACAUCUCAAAUCUCACGGAUGAUUUCGAUUGGACAAGAACUCAUAUGUCACACGUCGUAAGGAGAACGGGCGCUCCUAGCUCCAGGGACCUCGCUCGCCUUCUCGUAUGCAUCCGAUGCUGACCUUCUUCGAAACCGCCCGAAUGGCUCCCUGCCACCUAAAAACACAACACUCUCAACAUUUGCCUCAUAACACUGCUCGACUCGUUAAAGUCCACUUACUACUCUUUAAGAAUAUUAAAGACUGCUUAUCUCGUUGAGAAUUUUUUAUUGUGUCGGGAACACACCACACCAUCUAUUUUUAUAUAAGUGAUAGAAAUUUUUUUUUUUUUAAGUUAUUAACUUUUUAAUACAUAUAUCCUACUAUUUAUAUAAUGAGACGCGGUACCAACACGUGUGCGAAAAAUCUCUCCAACUCAUUAUAGUCCACACUUACUGCUUUUAAGAAGAUUAGGUCAGAUUUGAUACUAUUCUCAACAAGGGCAUAAAUGUCAAUUAACUAACAAACAUAAACAUCACAAUAUGAACAGCUGCAUGUACCUACACAAAAAUCCAUCCAAAUUCUAGAACAUUGAAAUUUGACUCCACAGCGUGUUAAAUUACUACUACACCCCUUGUCUCCCUGCACAUCCGUGAUGAGUGGAAGCCCCACCAAUACCAUUUGUGGAAACUAGGUCCUCCGUGCAGGGAGCCAGUGGCAUAUCUGACAUUUCAAAU